GAUGAACGCUGGCGGCGUGCUUAACACAUGCAAGUCGAACGAAGCACUUUAUUUGAUUUCCUUCGGGACUGAUUAUUUUGUGACUGAGUGGCGGACGGGUGAGUAACGCGUGGGUAACCUGCCUUGUACAGGGGGAUAACAGUUGGAAACGGCUGCUAAUACCGCAUAAGCGCACAGCAUCGCAUGAUGCAGUGUGAAAAACUCCGGUGGUAUAAGAUGGGCCCGCGUUGGAUUAGCUAGUUGGUGAGGUAACGGCCCACCAAGGCGACGAUCCAUAGCCGAGCUGAGAGGGUGACCGGCCACAUUGGGACUGAGACACGGCCCAAACUCCUACGGGAGGCAGCAGUGGGGAAUAUUGCACAAUGGGCGAAAGCCUGAUGCAGCGACGCCGCGUGAGCGAAGAAGUAUUUCGGUAUGUAAAGCUCUAUCAGCAGGGAAGAUAAUGACGGUACCUGACGAAGAAGCACCGGCUAAAUACGUG
RNAcentral lists this ribosomal RNA (481 nucleotides) under uncultured bacterium. Its description in RNAcentral is "partial 16S ribosomal RNA". It matches the Rfam family "Bacterial small subunit ribosomal RNA", at positions 28 to 507 of the family's 1533-position model. The record is from RNAcentral.